This 495-nucleotide ribosomal RNA is filed under the name uncultured bacterium. Its description in RNAcentral is "partial 16S ribosomal RNA". It matches the Rfam family "Bacterial small subunit ribosomal RNA", at positions 28 to 507 of the family's 1533-position model. The record is from RNAcentral.
GACGAACGCUGGCGGCGUGCCUAAUACAUGCAAGUAGAACGCUGAAGGAGGAGCUUGCUUCUCCGGAUGAGUUGCGAACGGGUGAGUAACGCGUAGGUAACCUGCCUGGUAGCGGGGGAUAACUAUUGGAAACGAUAGCUAAUACCGCAUAACAGUAGAUGUUGCAUGACAUUUGCUUAAAAGGUGCAAUUGCAUCACUACCAGAUGGACCUGCGUUGUAUUAGCUAGUUGGUGAGGUAACGGCUCACCAAGGCGACGAUACAUAGCCGACCUGAGAGGGUGAUCGGCCACACUGGGACUGAGACACGGCCCAGACUCCUACGGGAGGCAGCAGUAGGGAAUCUUCGGCAAUGGACGGAAGGCUGACCGAGCAACGCCGCGUGAGUGAAGAAGGUUUUCGGAUCGUAAAGCUCUGUUGUAAGAGAAGAACGAGUGUGAGAGUGGAAAGUUCACACUGUGACGGUAUCUUACCAGAAAGGGACGGCUAACUACGUG